Molecule: ribosomal RNA, 170 nt
Filed under: Samariscus triocellatus (three-spot righteye flounder)
Lineage: Eukaryota; Metazoa; Chordata; Actinopteri; Pleuronectiformes; Samaridae
Description: partial small subunit ribosomal RNA
Source: RNAcentral
AACCGCGGUUAGACGAGUUGGCCCAAGCUGAUAAAACUCGGCGUAAAGUGUGGCCUGGGUACAAUUACUACUAAAAUUGAAUACCUCCCAAACUGUUAUACGUUUACGGGGGUAAGAAAACCAACUACGAAAGUGAUUUUAUAAUACCACUGGCCACGAAAGCUAGAACA